AGAUAAGUUGCAGCCACCAUGAUUCAAGUAUUCUUGACAUCUUGCUGCGUCCACCUUGGUCACAAUAGCGUUGACUGCAUAUUCCACAUAAAGAAAAUACAUUUGUAUAAAUAUCAUGGUAUGAAGUCUUUUAAAUCUAAAAAAAAAAAAAAGAACAUCCUCUAUGUGCUGUGAAAUAAAUGUUAAUGUUAAUAAAAAUAAGAUGCAUAUUGGGGCUCAGAAAUCGUAGAAUGAUUUGGCCAUUGUUACUC
This 251-nucleotide long non-coding RNA is filed under the name Musa acuminata (dwarf banana). RNAcentral's name for it is "long non-coding RNA (MACU_LNC008936)". Lineage: Eukaryota; Viridiplantae; Streptophyta; Magnoliopsida; Zingiberales; Musaceae. The record is from RNAcentral.